RNAcentral lists this ribosomal RNA (253 nucleotides) under uncultured bacterium. Its description in RNAcentral is "partial 16S ribosomal RNA". It matches the Rfam family "Bacterial small subunit ribosomal RNA", at positions 524 to 776 of the family's 1533-position model. The record is from RNAcentral.
GACGUAGGGGGCCAGCGUUGCUCGGAAUUACUGGGUGUAAAGGGUUCGUAGGCGGUGCGGCAAGUUGGGAGUGAAAUCUCUGGGCUCAACCCAGAGGCUGCUUCCAAAACUGCUGUGCUUGAGUGUGGGAGAGGCGCGUGGAAUUGCAGGUGUAGCGGUGAAAUGCGUAGAUAUCUGCAGGAACACCGGUGGCGAAGGCGGUUCUCUGGGAAUAUCCUGACGCUGAGGAGCGAAAGUGUGGGGAGCGAACAGG